CGCUUGGUUCAUCCGGGACAUUGCUCUCUUCUCAGAUACUCCCAUAUACAUGUCCCACUCACUGCUUUCCUUCUCAUUGGGUCGCCUGUCACCUGCCACCUUCUCAGGGAAGUGUCACCUGGUCACCCUCCCCACAACAAUCUCAUUGCUUUUUUUUUUAUUGCAACACAUCACAUUCAAGUUACUUAUUUUAUUUUGCUAACUCCUUGCAUGAAUACAAGCUCUGUGAAGGCAGAAGCUUUUGAGGUUCCUCUUAUUCAGAGCUGCCACCUAGAGUAGUCCCUCGCUGGUGUUUCCCGACGGUGGCGGCCACUGGAUAGAUGCUGUCACUACUGUUGGCACUUUUCUGGGCACUUUGCGUGUUAUAACUCAUUUCCUGUCUUCUGCAGCCUUGUUGGUUUCUUCAUUGGGCAGAUAAGCAAGCUGAAGGCAGGAAAGACCGGCCCAGAUUCCUGGAGGAGCUAAGAUUCCAACCCAGGCAGUCUGAUCUCUUGAGACUUUGGGCUUUCCUAACUUCUUUGCAACUAUGUGUUGAGGUUGUGGGUGGAUGGAUGGACAGACUCACAGGUAGACAGAUGCUUAGAGAGGAGAUAAGGCAGGCUGGCAGUGUCACGUUAGCUCAUGCUGUGGUGAAA
Ochotona princeps (American pika) is the source of this 635-nucleotide long non-coding RNA. RefSeq lists it as uncharacterized. NCBI's taxonomy places the organism in Eukaryota, Metazoa, Chordata, Mammalia, Lagomorpha, Ochotonidae. The record is from RefSeq and is a predicted model, not a curated record. The transcript is spliced from 3 exons.